Molecule: transfer RNA, 71 nt
Filed under: Camelus ferus (Wild Bactrian camel)
Lineage: Eukaryota; Metazoa; Chordata; Mammalia; Artiodactyla; Camelidae
Rfam family: tRNA
About the family: Transfer RNA (tRNA) molecules are approximately 80 nucleotides in length. Their secondary structure includes four short double-helical elements and three loops (D, anti-codon, and T loops).
Source: Rfam by way of RNAcentral
GAGGGUAUAGUUCAGUGGUAGAGUGCAUGCUUAGCAUGCAGGAGGUGAUGGGUUCUAUCCCAGUACCUCCA